UACGGAGGGUGCUAGCGUUGUUCGGAAUGACUGGGCGUAAAGCGCGCGUAGGUGGUUUGGUAAGUUGGAAGUGAAAUCCCGGGGCUUAACCUCGGAAUGGCUUUCAAAACUGCCUUACUAGAGUAUGGUAGAGGAUAGUGGAAUUCCUAGUGUAGAGGUGAAAUUCGUAGAUAUUAGGAGGAACACCGGAGGCGAAGGCGGCUAUCUGGGCCAUUACUGACGCUGAGGCGCGAAAGCGUGGGGAGCAAACAGG
Molecule: ribosomal RNA, 253 nt
Filed under: uncultured bacterium
Lineage: Bacteria
Description: partial 16S ribosomal RNA
Rfam family: Bacterial small subunit ribosomal RNA
Source: RNAcentral